This 886-nucleotide ribosomal RNA is filed under the name Corynebacterium diphtheriae bv. gravis. RNAcentral describes it as "bacterial SSU rRNA". It matches the Rfam family "Bacterial small subunit ribosomal RNA", at positions 18 to 917 of the family's 1533-position model. Lineage: Bacteria; Bacillati; Actinomycetota; Actinomycetes; Mycobacteriales; Corynebacteriaceae. The record is from RNAcentral.
CCUGGCUCAGGACGAACGCUGGCGGCGUGCUUAACACAUGCAAGUCGAACGGAAAGGCCUAGCUUGCUAGGUACUCGAGUGGCGAACGGGUGAGUAACACGUGGGUGAUCUGCCUCGUACUUCGGGAUAAGCCUGGGAAACUGGGUCUAAUACUGGAUAGGACCAUGCUUUAGUGUGUGUGGUGGAAAGUUUUUUCGGUACGAGAUGAGCCCGCGGCCUAUCAGCUUGUUGGUGGGGUAAUGGCCUACCAAGGCGUCGACGGGUAGCCGGCCUGAGAGGGUGGACGGCCACAUUGGGACUGAGAUACGGCGCAGACUCCUACGGGAGGCAGCAGUGGGGAAUAUUGCACAAUGGGCGCAAGCCUGAUGCAGCGACGCCGCGUGGGGGAUGACGGCCUUCGGGUUGUAAACCUCUUUCGCUAGGGACGAAGCUUUUGUGACGGUACCUAGAUAAGAAGCACCGGCUAACUACGUGCCAGCAGCCGCGGUAAUACGUAGGGUGCGAGCGUUGUCCGGAAUUACUGGGCGUAAAGAGCUCGUAGGUGGUUUGUCGCGUCGUCUGUGAAAUUCCGGGGCUUAACUUCGGGCGUGCAGGCGAUACGGGCAUAACUUGAGUGCUGUAGGGGAGACUGGAAUUCCUGGUGUAGCGGUGGAAUGCGCAGAUAUCAGGAGGAACACCGAUGGCGAAGGCAGGUCUCUGGGCAGUAACUGACGCUGAGGAGCGAAAGCAUGGGGAGCGAACAGGAUUAGAUACCCUGGUAGUCCAUGCCGUAAACGGUGGGCGCUAGGUGUGAGGGUCUUCCACGACUUUCGUGCCGUAGCUAACGCAUUAAGCGCCCCGCCUGGGGAGUACGGCCGCAAGGCUAAAACUCAAAGGAAUAGACGGG